GUCAACAUCAUGCUGACACCAUCCACUCGGGCUUGGCUAACUCUCCUACCCGGGUACACCAUCAAUAGCUGGGCCAAGUUGAAGGCUUAGUU
This 92-nucleotide small nucleolar RNA is filed under the name Oryza punctata. RNAcentral describes it as "snoRNA snoZ256". It matches the Rfam family "Small nucleolar RNA Z256". Rfam says of the family: Z256 is a member of the C/D class of snoRNA which contain the C (UGAUGA) and D (CUGA) box motifs. Lineage: Eukaryota; Viridiplantae; Streptophyta; Magnoliopsida; Poales; Poaceae. The record is from Rfam by way of RNAcentral.